AUGAGUGAAAAGGUGAAAUAUUGGUGGUUUUCUAUAUGAUCUUGCUGAAAUUAAUUCUCAUUACCACCACUCUUUUAUGUCAUGCGUUUGAUCUUGAAUUCGCAUUAGGCCUGCUUUAGCAACCUAAAAUGAAGAAUACCAUGCUUUGAAUUUUUUUUUUUAUUUUUUUUUUUUAAAUUUAAGAGUGAGAAUACUAUGACUAAUCCAAAAGAAUAUAAUAAAAUAAUAUAGGACUAUCAAGAAGUUACCAUUUUGCUGAGAAUUCCCUUGAAAUUCAUGUGAGUUACAUUAUUUUAGUUGCUGAGCAAUUGACUUUUGGCUUGACGUCACUUUAUGGGAAACAAUAAAUCUAUAAGAAUGUGUGGGAGGAAAUUAGGAUGCAGCAGUUGAUUCAUAAAACUCACCCUUUCCAAGGGCCACCAGAAACACUAAUGGAAAUUUGGUGUAAUUUCUAACAUAUUUCUCUUUUCUUGCAACUUAUAUUUCCCUAAUCAUGUUUUUUGUGGUUUUGCAGGAAAUGAUUUGAGUUGUAAGGAGAUAGGUGCAAGUGUCGGUCCUGUACAAUAUGGAAAAGUUGCUACCCUCUUGCAUAUAGCAAUUUUACUUGGUUGCUCCUAACAAUGGAUGGAGUAUAGAUCUUGAGCUCUAUAUCACUUAGCAACCUAUGUUAGCACCUUUCUUCCGUUGCAUGUCAUGGGGAAAGUUUAGAGUUAUACUUGCUCUUUUGAAUCAUGGUAAUAUUGAGGGAGUUGAAAUGGAGUCUAUAAAGGCAUAAGAAUAAGCCGGCCAGCUACAAUGCCAGUCCAUUUAACUUGCUAAUUUUUUGCGUAUUCAAAUCGGGGAAUCUAAUAGGGAGUACCGAGCAUUCCAGCCCACUGCCCUUCAUUACCUACUAUGAGAAGAUUGGCAAAAUUGCCAAGGAUGAGACAGUCUUCUUAACAACUGUUCUGCUUCAUCAAUUGGAGUGGUAGAGUACA
This is a long non-coding RNA of Lycium ferocissimum, 977 nucleotides long. RefSeq lists it as uncharacterized. Lineage: Eukaryota; Viridiplantae; Streptophyta; Magnoliopsida; Solanales; Solanaceae. The record is from RefSeq and is a predicted model, not a curated record. The transcript has 3 exons.